GUGGUUGUGGCAGCGACAGCGAUGGAGACUGCAGCUCGACAGGAAUGGAGAUGGAAUCCGGAGGAUGGCUGCAGCAAUGCGGAUGUAGGAGACCAAGAUGAGUGCACAGGGAGCCAGGAACAGGACCACAGCCCCCAGGAACACAUGCUGAUUGUCAUGUAUGUGAGCAGGCAAUCUUCAUGAGCAGGUCAAAGAAAACAAUUAUCGGGGACAUGGGGAUAGUGUGGACCAGCUUUGUUGGCAUCCAAGUAAUCCUGACCUAUUUGUUACGGCGUCCGGAGAUAAAACCAUUCGCAUCUGGGAUGUGAGGACUACAAAAUGCAUUGCCACUGUGAACACUAAAGCUACCCAGAACUGAAGCCUGUGCAGUCCAUCAACGCCCAUCCUUCCAACUGCAUCUGUAUCAAGUUUGACCCCAUGGGGAAGUACUUUGCCACAGGAAGUGCAGAUGCUUUGGUCAGCCUCUGGGAUGUGGAUGAGUUAGUGUGUGUUCGGUGCUUUUCCAGGCUGGAUUGGCCUGUAAGAACCCUCAGUUUCAGCCAUGAUGGGAAAAUGCUGGCGUCAGCAUCGGAAGAUCAUUUUAUUGACAUUGCUGAAGUGGAGACAGGGGACAAACUAUGGGAGGUACAGUGUGAGUCUCCGACCUUCACAGUGGCAUGGCACCCCAAAAGGCCUCUGCUGGCAUUUGCCUGUGAUGACAAAGACGGCAAAUAUGACAGCAGCCGGGAAGCCGGAACUGUGAAGCUGUUUGGGCUUCCUAAUGAUUCUUGAGAGGAGGUUGUAGGGAGAGGAGGCCCCGGCAGAGGUCUUCCUUCAUGUGGUUAGUUUGGUCUGUUCUCUCGGAGUUGGUGGGCACCCUAAAUAUUUGUAAGUUGGUAUAAAUUGUAAACGUCUCUGGUCAGGCUGCGCAUUUCGUUCUUUUGCUUUGUCUGUGUAUUAGCUCUUUCCAUUCUUUGCCCCCAGCAUGAGUUAACUCGCGUGGACUCUGCAGUGCGAGUAGUGACCCCAGCAUACCUUGUCCUCUGGACCUCCUGUCUUCUCUGCUUCUGGGUGCAUGGUAGACUUUGUGGCAUUUGAUACAACUUGGACAAUACCUAGUUUGGAGGGAGGGGAAUGGAAGGGCAUGGAAGUUUUUUUAAAUAAUUAAAAAAAUAUAUAUAUAAUUUUGAGAAUUGAGCAUUUAAUAAACUGACUUUUGUUAUUAUGGAA
RNAcentral lists this long non-coding RNA (1209 nucleotides) under Homo sapiens (human). RNAcentral describes it as "novel transcript, antisense to PROP1". The record is from RNAcentral. Lineage: Eukaryota; Metazoa; Chordata; Mammalia; Primates; Hominidae.